GACGAACGCUGGCGGCGUGCUUAACACAUGCAAGUCGAACGAAGUGGCGAACGGGUGAGUAACGCGUAAUCAACCUGCCCUUCAGAGGGGGACACCAGUUGGAAACGACUGCUAAUACCGCAUACUGAAGGAGGGGAUUGCGUCUGAUUGGCUAGUGGGGGGGGUAACGGCCCACCAAGGCGAUGAUCAGUAGCCGGGCUGAGAGGAUGGACGGCCACAAUGGGACUGGGAAACGGCCCAGACGCCUACGGGAGGCAGCAGUGGGGAAGCGUCCGCAAUGGACGAAAGUCUGACGGAGCAACGCCGGGGGAGUGAUGACGGCCUUCGGGUUGGAAAGCUCUGUUAAUCGGGACGCGGUACCGGAAUAGAAAGCCACGGCUAACUACGUGCCAGCCGCCGCGGUAAUAC
RNAcentral lists this ribosomal RNA (408 nucleotides) under uncultured bacterium. RNAcentral describes it as "partial 16S ribosomal RNA". It matches the Rfam family "Bacterial small subunit ribosomal RNA", at positions 28 to 526 of the family's 1533-position model. The record is from RNAcentral.